AAGGAUCAUUACAGAGUUUUUGCCCUAACGGGUAGAUCUCCCACCCUUGAAUAUAUACCUUUGUUGCUUUGGCGGGUCGCGCUCAGCGCUACUGGCUUGUCUAGUACGUGCCCGCCAGAGGACCACAACUCUUGUUUUUAGUGAUGUCUGAGUACUAUAUAAUAGUUAAAACUUUCAACAACGGAUCUCUUGGUUCUGGCAUCGAUGAAGAACGCAGCGAAAUGCGAUAAGUAAUGUGAAUUGCAGAAUUCAGUGAAUCAUCGAAUCUUUGAACGCACAUUGCGCCCUCUGGUAUUCCGGAGGGCAUGCCUGUUCGAGCGUCAUUAUACCACUCAAGCUCAGCUUGGUAUUGGGGCCCGCCCACCAGCGGCCCCUAAAGUCAGUGGCGGUGCCGAUUGGCUCUAAGCGUAGUAAUACUCCUCGCUAUAGGGUCCGGUCGGUUGCUUGCCAACAACCCCCAAUUUUAUCAGGUUGACCUCGGAUCAGGUAGGGAUACCCGCUGAACUUAAGCAUAUCAAUAAGCGGAGGAAAAGAAACCAACAGGGAUUACCUCAGUAACGGCGAGUGAAGCGGUAACAGCUCAAAUUUGAAAUCUGGCUCUUUUAGGGUCCGAGUUGUAAUUUGUAGAAGAUGCUUCGGGUGUGGCCCCGGUCUAAGUUCCUUGGAACAGGACGUCAUAGAGGGUGAGAAUCCCGUAUGUGACUGGGUGCUUUCGCCUAUGUGAAGCUCUUUCGACGAGUCGAGUUGUUUGGGAAUGCAGCUCAAAAUGGGUGGUAAAUUUCAUCUAAAGCUAAAUAUUGGCCAGAGACCGAUAGCGCACAAGUAGAGUGAUCGAAAGAUGAAAAGCACUUUGGAAAGAGAGUUAAACAGUACGUGAAAUUGUUGAAAGGGAAGCGCUUGCAACCAGACUUGCACGUUGUCGAUCAUCCGGGGUUCUCCCCGGUGCACUCGAUCUCGUUCAGGCCAGCAUCGGUUUUGGUGGUGGGAUAAAGGCCUUGGGAAUGUAGCUUCUUUCGGGGAGUGUUAUAGCCCUCGGUGCAAUGCCGCCUACCGGGACCGAGGACCGCGCUUCGGCUAGGAUGCUGGCGUAAUGGUUGUAAGCGACC
This 1106-nucleotide ribosomal RNA is filed under the name uncultured Helotiales. RNAcentral describes it as "eukaryotic LSU rRNA". The stretch from base 473 to 1106 matches the Rfam family "Eukaryotic large subunit ribosomal RNA", at positions 1 to 649 of the family's 3401-position model. Lineage: Eukaryota; Fungi; Ascomycota; Leotiomycetes; Helotiales. The record is from RNAcentral.